CAUCUCCUGCUUGCUCGUCCUGAUUUUCUGUAUGGUGCUGCAGAUCAACCACUUUAUUAUCAUUCUGCAGCUCCACCUGUUUAUCAGUGCUACCCUUAUAUGCUUCAAAACUGGACUCUGCUUGGCUUUUAAUCAUGGAACAUUGAUUAAAGAAAAUGUUACAGCUUAAAACCACUCGGUUUUCUGAUGGAGACUAUACCCUGUAUCCCUUGACUCCAUCACCGUAGCCCAUAAAUACUCCCUUCUUUGCUCUCAGCUCAAGUUUACCAUCGUUCACAUGAUAGUAAACAGUGCAACCAAAGGCUCUCAGAAUUGAGUAAUCAGCAUAUUUACCUGACCACACCUUAGAAGGUAUUUUGCACUCGAUGCCUAUGUGGGAACGAAGAUUAAUCAAGUAGCAAGUUGUAUUCACAGCUUCACCCCAAAACCAUUUCGCUAAUCCUGAAUUUGAGAGCAUGCACCUCGCUCUCUCAGCAAUAUCUGAUUCAUCCGUUCAGCUACACCAUUAUGCUGUGGUGUUUCCCUGACUGUAAGAUGCCUAGCAAUCCCUGCAUCCUUACAAAACUGAUUGAACUUCUUUCAUGUUUGAUUCUCCACCAGCGCUUUUCGUUCCUUGAACUGAUCGAAAGCUUCACUUUUGUGCUUCAUGAAGAAUAUCCAAGUCUUCCUCUAAUAGUCAUCAAUCAUAGACACAAAAUAUUGUGACCUUUCAGCAACUCCACUCUGGAGGACCCCAACAAUCCGCAUGGAUGUAAUUCAAUGUGCCUUUUUCCCUAUGAAUCGUCUUAGGAAAACUCUUCUUGUGUAGUUUCCCAAAAACACAGUGCUUAGAAAACUCUAGAUUCUUGGUUUUGUGACCACAUAGAAGAUAUUUCUUUGACAGAAUUUGCAUCCCACGUUCAUUCAUAUGCUCAAGCCUAAUAAGCCAUAGAUUAGUCGUAUCUUCUUUGCGAACCUCUGGUGAUGCAACCAUUUGCUGUACUAGUCAUAAGCCAUAGAUUAGUCGUAUCUUCUUUGCGAACCUCUAGUGAUGCAAACAUUUGCUGAACUAGUCACUGUAGAACCCUUCAACAAAUACAGAGUACCAUGCAUGAAACCCUUCAAGAUCACAUCUAAACCUCUGUAGACAUUUAGAGCUCCAUCUCCAGCUGAAUACUUGAAACCUUUACUGUCCAACAGACUCAUUGAUAUCAAGUUCUUCGUCAUUGACGAAACAUGCAUGACUUCGUUCAAUGUGAAGAAUCUACCAUCAUGUGUCUUGAGCUUGAUCGAGCCGAUCCCAACAAUCUUGCAGAUAAAAUCAUUUGUCAUCUUAAUAUUGCCGUCAGGUACCUCAACGUACUCUGCAAACAAAUCUCUCAUUCAUGCAUUCUUAGAGCAAAAAGACAUUGCUUCAGAAGUAGCUUGUUCUUUAGAGACUUUGUCAUGUACAAGCUCUCUAACUUCUACCAUAACCUAGCAGCCAAUUUCUCAUCCUAAACUUUGACAAUAAUUUCGUCUGCUAGACAAAACAAGAUUGUUGAGAACACCUUCUUUUCCAGAACUUCCAUUUCAGCAUAAUCAGUCUUCUUUCCUGACAAAGGUGUCAAGAUGCCUUGUUUCUUUAACAAAGCUUGCAUCUUUAUCUGCCAGAGAUUGAAACUUGUCGAUUUUCGCGUUUAUCCCAAACAUCUUUUCACGAGAUUACAAACCUGAGGCUCUGAUACCAGUUUGUUGCGACGGAUGCGAGAAGAGAAGAUGUGGAACACAUAGAUAGGUAAACGCAAUAAACGAAAAGAACACAAGAUUUAAUGUGCUUCACCAAUAGGCUACCUCCACGGGCAAAGAUAGAUUUUUAUUAAUGAAAUAUUUACAUAAAUCUAUCUAAAAGAAGAACUUAUGAGAUUGCUCUUUAUUUCAGCUGCUACUUAUGUUUAGAGGAAAAACAAGAUAUAUAUAAUGGUGAAGACAUGUUUUCUGAAGUGGACACUUUAGUGCCCUAGGUAACUCAGAUUUCCAUAUAACUCCAAAAUGCUGAAAAAAAGUUUUUGACGUGGACACUUCAGCGCUUUAGGUAAAAAGCAGAUUCAAAGCAUUACAACACUAAAUUUUAUGGUGGCCACGAGGAGGAGCAAGUUUGAAGAUGUGCCUAUGGAGUUUGAUAAGAACAACGCUCAAGUUAGUUAGACACGUUCUGUUUCUAAUGCAUCGGAAACUUCUAGUCAAAUUUUUGAAGCUGUUAAGCGAGCUUAGGAGCUGGCUGCUCAGAUGAAACCACAGAAAGCUGUUGCAGUGGCUCAGAAACCGAGCAAAAUCCAGAAGUGUGGAUGCACUUGGAAGAGAGAUAGAUAAACACGGUGGUUAGUGUGACUAAAUCUAGUGGUCUUACUACAUUGUGUUGGGACACAGUUUCUGAAAAGUGAGUGUUUUGACUUUUCCGGCCAAACCGGCAGUGGUCGUUAUCAGAUUAUUGGCUCAUUGUAAAGUUUGUAACGAGCACUACAAUCUGGUAUAUUCAUACAUCAAAAGCAGAGUUAAAUUAAAUGAUAAAUGAAUUGAUGAAGUUGGUAACUUGGUGUUAUCAAAACUCUGUAAUUUGCCUAGGUGUUAAUAUAACACUAAAGUCCCUACAUAGGGGAAGGCAAAACUUUCAGAGGUGUAUAAAUAUGCAUACACAUAUAAGUUUGUUCAAAAUAGUUUUCCAUUUUUUUUUUGCGGAUCACGUUUUAAUUUGAGUAAAAUCUAAAAGUAAAAAAAAAAAAAAAAUCUAAAAGUAGCACACAAACGAACCUAUAAAACAUCAUGAAUCCUCCAAUGAUCAAAUCACUUUAAAUUUGUCAACACAUUUUUAAAAGAAAAAAAAAAGAACAAAAAAAAAAAAAAUAUUACCACCAUGGCUAGCGCGAGAAGUUUGGUUGCCAAGGCAAAUAAUACUAAUGUAGGCUCAUUAAUCUUAAUGACCGUGGUGUUAGGUUCUUGUAUAGCUAAUGGUGAAUAUCUCGGUGCCCGCCGUGGCCUUGCCGCUGUUGCCGGAAACCCUACGGUCUUUGAUAUUACUAAGAAUGGAGCAGUGGGAAAUGGUGCCACCGAUUCUUCCAAGGUGAUAUUUCUUUAAUUUUAUGGAAUUAGCUUGAGUUUCGCUUCAUAAUUUAAGUUACUGUUAUUAUUAGUAAAAUACACAUGACAAGAAACAUUUAUCCAAUAAUAAAUGGUUUCUUAAAAAUAAUAAUAAUAAUAAAAAAAAUAAAAUAAAAAUAACAAAAAAUAUAAUAAAUGGUUUCUUUCUUCUAAAAAAUUUGUACGACAGGCGUUUCUAAACACAUGGCUCCAAGUGUGUGCCAGUCCUGUACCAGCAACGCUACUAGUCCCUAAAGGAGAUUUCUUGGCUGGUCCAGUAAUUUUUGCUGGUCCAUGCAAGAGCAAAGUGACCGUCGAAGUUCAGGGCACAAUCAUCGCUCCACCAAGCGGAUACCCGACUCCUGAAUGGUUCUUAUUCGAACAUGUCGAUAAUGUCGUCCUCACCGGACCCGGCACAUUCCACGGCAAAGGUGAAGCCGUUUGGAAAGCAGAUGGCUGUGGUAAAAAGGUGGACUGCAAUCUUCCUCCAACGGUAAGAUUUAAGUUAAUAAUAAUAUUAUUAACUAAUACUUUUGUACUGAUCAGACUUACACCUGCAUGCAGUCUCUAAAAUUCAGAAACAUCUUAAACCUUGACAUUUCCGGCAUUAGCUCGGUCAACGCAAAGGCCUUCCACAUGUUCUUGGUAAAAACUACAAAUGUCAACGUCCAAAACAUCAAGAUUACUGCCCCUGCUGAAAGUCCCAACACCGAUGGUAUCCAUUUGAGCAAUGCGGUCAACGUUCACAUCGUUGACAGUUUAAUAGCUACAGGAGACGAUUGUAUCUCAGUCGGUCGUGGUUCCACCAAUGUAACCGUCGAGCGCGUGACUUGUGGCCCAGGACACGGCCUAAGUGUCGGUAGUCUUGGUAAGUACCCGAACGAGGAGAAUGUUGCCGGCAUUCACUUUAAGAAGUGCACCAUGAAAGAUACUGACAAUGGUCUUAGAAUCAAGAGUUGGGGUGGUUCGUCUCCAAGCACGGCUGUGGACAUCACGUUUGAAGAUAUUAUGAUGACAAACGUCAAGAACCCAAUCAUCAUUGACCAAAAUUACGGCUCAAGAGGCGGAGUAAGAUAUACCCGUGGAAAUUUCAAACCAAAACUUCACUUGAUCAUUCAGCAGUUUACGAAAAUAAACUUUUUGUGUGUGUUUGUAGGAUUCAAAAGUUGCGAUAAGCAAUGUGCUGUUCAAGAACGUAAGAGGAACAACAAUUACAAAAGACGAAGUUCAGAUCAUGUGCAGCAAAUCAGUACCGUGCAAAGGAGUCAGCGUCGUUGACGUGGAAUUGAACUUUGUAGGUGACAAAGGAGGACAUCCCUCGGCGUCAGGAGGUUUGGUCGGAGCUCUUUGUGACAACGCCAAUGUUAUCUUCGGUGGAAAACUUAGCUUCCCUAUGUGUCCCAAAUAAGCUUUUUGGUAAAUUUGAUGUUGAAAACAAGUAAAAAAUUUCAACAAACAUUUCGUUGUUUUGUUUGUGAGUUAGUUUGUAAGUUUAUCAACAAUAAUUGGAAUGUAUUGUUGUGAAUUAGAUGAGAUAAAGAGAUAUUUAUGUGUAUUUAUAAGUGUUAAUAUAUUAGUAUAUUGUUCUUUAUGUGUUUGGAAAGUAACGAAAGAAAUGUGAGAUAAUGAGCACAAAUGACUUUGAUCUCUUGCUCUUAUUUUUAUUUUUUGAAUUAUACAGAGGUAUCCUGGUCCUACAGAAGUGAUCCAAACUAGUCACAUGUUGUCACGUGUCGGUCUUCUGUCCCUGGCAAUGCCGAAAUGUUAAUUCCCCAGUGGCCGGAAUUCGAACCCAGGUGGCGGAUCUCUUGCUCUUAUUACUAUCACUUACAACAACAAAUCAACUCCUAUUUAUAGAAGUAGUAAGUCGGUAAAGUACACCGACGUAAGAAGAAAACAAAUAUUUAUAUAGUAAGCUAAUGGAUAAUCACAAUCCAAAAUCAACCUUAUCUUUUUGGAUCAUUAUCUUUAACACUUCCUCUUGAUUAUCCAUUUUUAUAUUACGUAGUGCCUCGUUAAAAACCUAGUCAUGGAAAAACCCUUUGGGACAAAAACCAUGACAAGGGAAAAAAAGUACACUGCCGUACUCUCCCCCUGAAAAUAGUGGACCUAGUUUUCUCGUCACAGGUCACGCAAAUGCCGCAUUCCGAUACCAUAAACGUGUUUUCGGAAUGUUGUAGUUGGAAGAGCUUUGGUGAACAAGUCAGCCGGAUUUUCGCAUGACCGUACAUAUUCGAUGUCCACCUCUUUAAUUAUCUCGUGCUCCUUUAUGUACGAGAAAAAUCUUGGAGGGAUGUGCUUUGUUCUAUCACUCUUAAUGUAGCCUUCUUUAAGAUGAGCGACACACGCCGAAUUGUCUUCAAAUAUUUUCGUCGACUCUUUUUCAUUGACUAUUCCGCUUGAUUCUUGUAUGUGGUGACUCAUUGACCGAAGUCACACACAUUCUCGACAUGCUUCGUGAAGCACAAUAGUUUCUGCAUGAUUCAAAGAUGUCGCAACCAGAGUUUGUUUCUGGGACCGCCAAGCGAUCGCGGUUCCACCAAUUGUAAAAACAUAGCCAGUUUGCGAUCGAGCCUUAUGAGGAUCUGAUAAGUAUCCUGCAUCUGCAAAACCAACAAUACCAAACUCGGGUUUUCUAAAAUAUAUUAACCCUAAAUCAAAUGUACCUUGGAGAGAACGGAUAUGUUCUCGACGCCAUUCUAAUUUCCAUAAAUAGGAAAUGAGCUAUGUCUCGCAAAUACAUUAGUGUCUAAAAGUAUAUUUAAUCAAAUACAACUCGCAAGACAUAUAAGCUCACAUAUACUUUAUUACCAUUAGCAUCUCCAAAGUACUUAUUUAUAUAAGAUCUUACCGGGAUCUCUUAAAACAACAUCUCUUUUAACAUCGAAAGAUCUAUUUACCAUUGGAGUACUCAAAAGAGUCACUUUUGUCCAUAUAAAAGUGUUUCAAUAACCUAAUCGUAUAGUUUGAUUGAUACACAAAUAUUCCUUCUCCGAGAUGCUCUGUCUGGAGCCCCCAAGACAAACUUUGUCUUGCCGAGAUCUUUCAUUUCGAACUCUUCUCCUCUUUGAUUCGUAGGGGACCAAAGUGUAACAACAACUGUGUACACCAUGUAAUCUCUUUAGGAAUUCCUUUAAUUCGAUCACAAAGCCAAAUGACGAUUUCUUUAUAAAAACGCAUGGACAUAUCGCAUUAUUCACAUAUCCUUUACUCAAAAGAUAUUGACUUAAGCGAUUGUACCACAUGCGUCCGGAUUGCGUUAAUCCGUAAAUUGAUCGCUGUAACUUGACCGAACAAAUCUCCAUGGAUUUUUCUUUCAAUGCCCCUAGCAUUUUCAAUCCCUCAGGGAGUUUUAUACAUAUAUCAUUAUCCAACGGUCCAUACAAAUAUGCAGCCAAAACGUCCAUGAGAUGCAUUUCAAGAUUUUUAGACGCCAUUAGGCUCAUCAAAAAUCUAAACAUAAUUGCAUCCAUUACUGGGGAAUAUGUUUCUUCAAAAUCAAUUCCCGGUCUCUGAGAAAAACCUUGGGCAACUAAUCAGGCUUUAUAUCGUGUUACUUUUCACACGAAUACCCACUUAUACCCAAUAGGAUUUAUAUUCUCAGGCAUUAUGACUAUAAGUCCAAAAACAUUCCAAAAUGGACUUUGGAUCGGGAUCAUCCCCCUCAUACAUAGAGGUAGAUUCAUAAUCCUUAUUUAUAUAGCGCGCUUUCAUUUUAUUGUCGACAGUCUAUUUUCUCUUUGGUUUCAUCUUUUUAUUCGUACUAAUAUGAUUAAUCGAAAUCUCUUUAUCAUCAUCGAUGAUUUACCCAGGUACAUGACUGUAAUAUUAACCAUAUCAACAGUCUCUUCACUACUUUUCAUCAAGGGCGUAGUUGAUGGAAAUCUCAUACUUUUUUCUGUACCCUUCUCGUCAUCUGGAUCCAUAUCUUUAUUUGGUGCUUCUUGAACCUUUUCAUCUGUGCCUUCUUUCAAACAUUUUCAGUAUCAGAUUCUUCUGGAACCUUUCCACUUAUGCCUUUUUUCAGACAUCUUUAGGAUUGUUUAUGUCUUUAUUACAUGCACAACUGCAUGUUUACACCCGAUCAUGGGGACCAUCUUACUUGAAUUUACUUUAUCAAGUUCUUUUUUCAAGUGCGAACAUAAUUGCGAACCCUAGGCUCAUUCAUUUUGUUACCAUCAGUUUGUUCUUUAGAAACAUCAACUAUUGAUGGAACAUUUUCAGCGGGUAUAUCAUGUUGUAUCUGUGAACUUGAAUUUACUUUAUCAAGUUCUUUUUUCAAGUGCGAACAUAAUUGCUCAAUGUUCCACUCACUAGGAUUCUUUAAUUCUCCCCCUCGAGAUGAUGACACUCCAUGUCUAAAAUCUUGUACUGAAUCCCACUCUAGAACCAAUAACAUAUUCAGUUUUCCCAUUUUGGGAUGAAUUAUGUUUCAAAUCCUUUAGAGUGAGAUCUUAAUUUGGGGUCUGCUUAAAGAAAUCACAUAUAAUGAAAUUGUUUGAUGAUUCAUCACCCAUGUUGGUUUCCUUUAUUUUCUUGACAUGCUAUAUGUGAAAAACUUCUAGUUUUUCAGCAUUUCACAAUAAUGACGAUAACAUUAUUGGAGAUGGCUAUAUAUCAGUAAACUUCAGGUUUACCACUCAUCUAUAAUUUUCCCAUCUUUUUUUUGUACCACUACAAGAAAUAUGCACAUUAUUAGCACACGAUAAACGCUAUGGUAGGACUUUCAUAGCGAAACUUGAAAUGCUAUGUCAUCGGCAGCCAUCAUAGGUAUCCCUCUACGAUAACAUUUAUUUAAAUGCUAUGAAAUGUGCAGAUACGAUAAUAUUUCAGUGAUGUUAUUAACUUAAAUAUAACACUAUUUUUUUGUUACAAAUUGAUUACGAUUUAUAUAUUCGUGCUAUGAUUGAUCUUUCUGCAAUUAACAAAAAUUAAUUAUAAUUCGAAAUAGAAUAAUUUAAUAUUAAAUUGAAAUUUUUUUUAUAUUGAAAUUAAAAUAAAUUUUAUUUAUAUAUUAAAAUUGGUUUACAAAUUAAUCUUGGUUUACAAAACUAACCAGAAAUCAUAACAUAAACUCAGACCACUACAAUUUCUCUAACACGGGUUACACUAAACCAAAUCUAAACCUAAAAAAAAAAAAAACUGCAGCCGCCUCCUCCAUAUCCUUGCCCCUCUUCCAACAGCCAUGAGCCUUGCCUCCUCCAGCCGCCACGAGACUUCCGUCCUCAAGCCGCCAUGGACCUUGCCUCCUCCAGCCACCAUGAACCUUGCCUCCCCAACUAUCUUUACCAAAACAAAACAACAUCAGAUUCAUACUACAGAAACAUAGAGAAGAUGCAAAGAGAUAAAGAGAGAGAGAGAUCAACCGUGGUGGUGGUGGGAGGGCGACCGUGGUGGUGGUGGGCGGGCGAACCUGGUGGUGGUGGGAGGGCGACCCCGGUGGGGGUGAGACGAGGAGGAGACGCGGUGGGAGAGAGAUGGGAGAGAUGAGAGAGGCGUGGAGAGAGAUAGGAGAGAUGAGAGAAACAGUAAGCUUGGAGAGGGAUGGGAGAGAUGAGAAUGAAGGAGAAGAACAUGAAGGCCAGAUCUCUGUAGUGGAGUUGAGAGUGAGAGAGAGAGAGAGAAGAAGAAAAUAAAAAUAAAGAUUAAAAGGAAUAAAUCUUAACCUUUAGAUCUAAGUUAAUCUAACGGUUCAAAAGUGUGAUCCAUGUAUUUUAAUCUGAUUGGCCAGACAAUUUUGUUUCUGUUUUUCUAUUUUUAUUUUUUGUUUUGUCUUUCCAUAUUUGAUAAUUUGUUUUGUAAGUGAUUUUUAUUAGUUAUAUCUUAUUUCAAAAUUAAUAUUUUGUAGUUUAUAAUUUAAGUCUAAAUUUUUAUUUUUUUAACCUAAUAAACUGAUAUUUAAUUUAUGAAUUGAUGUUUAAGUUUGAAAAUAUUAGAUUAAUAUUAACAUUAUGAUUUUGGUCAUCAUUUUUAAAUUUGCAUGUUUAUAAAAAAUCCGAUUUACAAUUCGUUUAUAAAUUUGUAUGUUUGACUCAAAAUUUGAAAAGUUUCAAAUUUAUAUUUUAUGAUUUACAAAAAAAAAAUAUGAUUAAGAGUAAAAUUUAGUUUUAUGAUUUAAGGUGUUGAUGUUGUAAUAUGAGGUUUAGGGUUAAAAUUUAGUGUUUUGGAUUAAGAUUGGAAAAUAAUAGAUUUGAAUACUAGAAGAUUUGUAGUUAAAUAUUUAAUAAUUUAGAUUUGAAGUUUAUAUUUAGAGUAUUGAAUGUUUAGUUUACGUUUGAAGUUAAGAUUUAAGAUAUAGAAUUUGAUUAAAGAUUAAAGAUAUGUGUUUAGGAAAUUAUAGAUUAAGAUUAAAAAGAUUAAAUUUUGAUUUUAAUUUUAAGAUUUGAAGUUAUAGUAUGAAAAGAUUAGAGGUUUAAAGGUUGUCUUUAAAGUUUAGGGUUUAAAACAAUGUUUAGAGUUUAAAACAUGUUUAGAGUUUAGGGGUUCAAAGAGCUUUUCUUAGCAUUAUAAAAAUGAUAUUAUAGGUCUUUUGAUAGCAUUGUUGAAGCCACUUGAAAAAUAUUAGCGCUUAAAUCUAAUAAUUCUCUAAGUGUUGGUGGUAUCUAUAACUUUAUAUUCCCGCUCGCUUAAUUUUUAAAAUAACAUUAAUUAAGUGCUAUUUUAGGUUUCACUCUGCCAUAGCGUUUAUCUAAUGCUAUAAUAUAAUACGAAAAUAUUUAAAUCAUUUACAACAGCAGUUCAGCAAAACGUGUUAUAACAAUGUGCUAUCAAUGUAGAUUUUUUUUGUAGUGUAAUAUUUAAUAAUUUAGAUUUGAAGUUUAUAUUUAGAGUAUUGAAUAUUUAGUUUACGUUUGAAGUUACCUCUAGAGCCAAUAAUAAUUUUUAUAGUAAUAGAUAUUAUACUUACUUAUUUUGAGAGAGGAGAAAUAUUUGUUACCUUUAGUAGUCAUGUACGAUGAUCCAAUAUCUGCCAUGUAUAUCUAUCUCCAUCCUGAAUCUCAAAAUCUUAUUCCGGAAGAUAAUUCUCAUAUCACGUCGAUAUUUUAUUUUCAUUUUCUGGACCAACCAGAAAAUCUGAAUCAUCAAGAUGAGUAUUCAAGCUAUGAAAAAUGGUUCGGGCUCAUAAGAGACGAAGUUUAAUAUACUUCUUUUCUUUUUUUUCUUUUUGAUUCUCGAUACAGAUCGACUAAAUAUUUGGGAAUACAACAAAUACGUACCCAAAAUUCUUUCUUGCCGCAUCUGUAGCAAACCUUUUUUGUUUGCCUUUUAUUACCCGACCACUUUCAUUUUCGUGGAAGUUCUCAUUAUUCUCAUAGGGACGGAAUCUUCUUCCUCGUCCUCUUCCACGACCAUGAUAGCGGUUUCAACCGCAUCUACACCCUCGUCCUUUUCUAAUAGGACCGACUUGAUGGUUUAGUAUAUGAUUUCUAUUUUUUUUUUCAUGGAGGAUUUAAAUCAACUCCAACUAUUUAGUGAAUCCUUUCUUUCAAGGAUUUGAUUAUCAAAUAUCUUCUAAAUCUUUUCUCAUGAUACACCUCAUCUUAUAAACCAUCAUCAAAGUGAUGUAAAAUAUCAUCGCUUUUCUUUUUCUCAUCCGAUAUAGUUUUAACUUAUCGAUGAUUUUUCAAAGCUCAUUUUCUCUCAGGUGUAUCUCUACACCUACUGCCCAGAUCAUAUAAAAAGGCAUUUACUUCGAGCUUUGUCAAAUUUGACAUGAUAACCGUUCUUAUAAAAAAAUAAUAUAAAAUAUAAAGACCGAAAUUUAAAUGCAUAAUUUAAAAGCAUAAAUUAUAUGCAUAAAUUAAAUUGCAGAAAUUUAAAGAGCAAUAAAUAAAAUUGGAGGCUUAGCCUACCACAUAAUCCGAGGAGUCAUAGACUACCAUAUUGAUCAAUAUUUUUCGAAGUCCGAAGAGACAUGGUCUACCAUUUUGACUUUUACUUUUUGUUUUCAAGAUCAGAGGAGAUAAAGUCUACCAUUUUGAUAUUUUCUUAUUUCAAGGUCCGAGGAGACUUAAUCUACCAUUUUUGACAUUUUCUUUUUAUUUACGGAAGCAAAGCCUUCCACGUAACCCUUUUUUUUCAAUUCAUGGAGGCAAAGCCUACCAUGGUUUCCCUGAUCGUGAAGGUAUAGCCUACCAUAACGAUCAGUCGGGGAAACCAACGCCUAUCAUCCCGAAAAAUAAACUGAGAAGACCUAGUCUCUCACUCUGGAACAAUAAUAAAAUUUAAAUGAAUUAAAUAUAUUGAAACACAUAAAUUUAAACAUUACCUCGGCUGGUUUAAGAUCUUUCGGAUUGAUAAACCUCGGUUGUUCAGAGCUUCGUGCUGAUAACGUGUUGUGAAUUAGAUGAGAUAAGGAAAUAUUUAUGUUUAUUUAUAAGUGUUAAUAUAUUAGUAUAUUGUUCUUUAUGUGUUUGGAAAGUAACAAAAGAAAUGUGAGAUAAUGAACACAAAUGACUUUGAUCUCUUGCUCUUAUUACUAUCACUUACAACAACAAAUGAACUCCUAUUUAUAGGAGUAGUAAGUCGGUAAAGUACACCGACGUAAGAAGAACACAAAUAUUUAUAUAGUAAGCUAAUGGGUAAUCACAAUCCAAAAUCAAUCUUAUCUUUUUGGAUCAUUAUCUUUAACAUAUAUGACUUUUUGAUAUUUUUUUUCUUUGUUUAUAAUUUUUCUAUUUUUUUGGGGGGUGGGGGGGUAAUGAUAUAAUAAACAGACCCUUCAAUUGAUUGCUUGACAAUUUUCUGGUCAUAACUUUGGUCUGUGAGUUUAGUGUAUACAACCAUUUCACAUUAAAACUACUCUAUUUAAAAGCACGGAUCAAAGGAACGACAUAAAAUUAAAACAUCAGCUAUAUGUAGCCUGAAAGCUUUCUUUGUUUCUUAAACUUAGCUUAACUUAAUUAGUAACAAGCAUAUAAAUGGUCAAGCUAACUGAGAGUAUCGAUGUUUCCACUGUCCACCAUCUCAAAAACUUCUCCAACGAUAUUAUUACAAGGCUGAGAACAAAAAUUUCCACCCUCUUACAUUCAUUUUGCAACUUAUAUGAAUCACCCAUUCCCUUUUACAAAGUACACCUAGAAAGCGUUGAUGUGUCCAGUCGUGUCCAUGUGCAUCUUUCAGAAUAUAGCUUUGAACUCCAUCACCAUAUAAUUACCCAUGCUAAAUCGAUCGAAGGUUCAACAUCAACGCCUAAACUUACGUUUUAAGAAAUUUCGAAACACCACAAAAGAACCCAUGCUAAAUCGCUCGAAACUUCAACACCACCGCCUAAAGUGAAGUUUUGAGGAACUUCGAGUCACCACAAAAUAACCAGCUGUUGUUUCCUUUUGUGUUUCAACUUUUCAAUCGAUAUAUAUUUACCGAGGAUUCAUGAGACUCAUUCUUUUUUUUGUUAACACUGGAUUUUUAUUGAAUUUGGAGAAACAUACCUGCAAAUUACAAACAAAAGAUAAGACAAUGAUAAGCAUAAAUGAUCACAAUGAUCUUACCUAUCCCCUAUUCUAGGCCGGAAAACCUGAGAAACAAUGAAAAUUGCCCUGUCCAAAGUUGAAUUUACUUCACACUGUUGCUCUACUUUUAUCCACACUAGCAGCUGGAGAAGAGCGCAGCUUGUAAUGAAGGAAACUCGUGGCCAGAAACACGUCGUGAUCCCGAAAAGAUUAGUCUUCUCUUUUGACAUUGACACCAAUCUAUAAGAUAAGAAAAUUGUUGAACCCAACACCACAGACCCGAUGUCCGAAGAUGUUCCUGGGAUGGCACAACAAUUGACAUGUCCACGUACGCGAAGGGUACUUCAGCUUUGAAUGACCAACCAAACUGAAAUACUCAUUCCGUGACUCGUUCUUGAAAACCAUGAAGCGAUUCAUAACUUUUAGUAAUAUGAAAACAAACGGCGAAGAACGUUGAAACAAUCAAUUUGAUAUGGAUGUCAUGUCUCCCUUAUCUUUGAUUCCAAGAACCACACACACAGAGCAAUUGGCAGAUGGGACUUCGCUGCCACUCUAAUACCUGCAAAAGAGAAACAAAAGAGUUUCUCCCAUCAGCGAGAAGGACCACAGCCUGAUCGAUGAUGCUGGGAUGGCUCCACCCUUAAAAUGCGCCACCACUAGAUAGAUCCGACACUUAAUGACCAAAAGAGUCGGUGACUUUUUACGAGAUUCGUCAACGGAGAACCGAAGAAACGAAGCUUCUCUUAUUUGCCAAAUCCACAGCCGAGUGAUGAUUCGGAUGUGUACAAAUCUACAAGGCCCUUGAAGCAAGUACUAGUGACAGGUCCAAACCAACCAAAGAGACUCUCUACAAAGACGGGAUGGGUCUACAAACUCCAAAACCAAACACCAAAUCCAGUGAAAACCUAGAAAAAAGAUCUGAAGCCGCAGAUGCCUUCAUGCAUGUCUCGUCGUUACUCCAUUACCUCUCGAACGCCUCCUAUACACCGAACAAAGACGUCAUCGUCGAGACAGCAGAGCAAGCAAACAUAUUGACAGGGGAAGGAGAAGAGGCUUGAGAGAUAAAAAAAAAAAGGAAAGCACAAAAUUUAAGAGAGAGGGGCCACCGGCACCGGGCACCGGCACGACGGCCGGAUACCGGUGAAGGAUUGAGAUUAGGUUGACUGCAAGGAGGAGGCGGCUAGGGUGGCCAGUAUGCAAGGAGACUCAUUCUUUGUGUAUGGCAUUGUUGGAAUAAUGGCCAUAUUAGAAGAGAUCGAAUAAUACAGAUCUCAAUUGCUGGAGAAGAUAAUUAAAAAUCAUUUAUUGGUGAUUCCCAUUAUUAUAGAAUUAAUCAUAGUUGAAGAAAUUAUGGAGUAUCUCCUUUAUCCUUGAAUCAGUAUUGAGAAUUCUAAUGCAAAAUCUUAGCAAGAAAUAGCUUAAGAGAAAAUCUAAGUAAUGCAUACACAUGAACUCAGUGAUCAAAAAGAACAAAGUAACACUGAAGAACAUCAAGGUACACAAUAUGUGUUCUCAGAAAAGAACAACAGAAAAAUGCAAAAACAUAAAAGAAUCACUAAAUAGCAUUGAGCAUCGAAGGUGGGUGACCUACAAAGAAAAGAAGCUUUCGAUGUGAUUUGGGAAAACAUGCAUGGUGAACGUGUCGUUGCUAGCAAGUCCACAGCGGCGUCCAAAGUCAUCCAAAUUCUUUCAAAGAAUACUUUUGUAGUACUGUUUCUCCUCGGAUCAAAAAAUAGAAUAUAAGAAGCUUGAUAGAAACCAUACGGAGCAAAAAUAAACUCACCAGCAUCUGUAGUACCGCUGAAAUAUAUAGAAUCCCUCCGUACACGAAGAACAAAGCGUUUCCAUUCGUGUCCAUGUGCGUCUUCCAAAAUAUAGAGUUUAACAACAUCAAAGGGAUGAUCAUGAGUAACUAAGGCUACCCUUCCCUCAUAAGGUAUAAAAAAAAGGGGCCUAAAUGGACCCUUAUCCGGAAACUUUAUAGGAUUGAAGUUCAGAUUUCGCAUCAAAGCUCAUUAUGAUAUCUUGAUCAUCACCAAGAAGACGAGCUUCAUAAUAUAUAAAUCCAUUGAAGCAUCGCCCACGUGUUCCAGUUGGGCGAUGGACAGGGCAACGUCCUUUGGUUAUAUGUCUCCAUGAUUCUUGAAUACCCAAUGUAAGAACCCGCGACUGAUCGUUAUAUUCUUCAGAUGGUACACAAAGUACUUUGUGUUUACCUUCAGUGGAUCGUAUCCUAAUAAGUAAGACCAAUCGUUUGGACUCGAGCUGUGUUUACCAAGAUGUGGUAAGGCUAAAAACCGUCUCAAGGUUGGGUUCCAAAUCUUGAAUGCAGAUGUUAAAAUCAAUCCCUGGAUGCUCGUGGAUCGCCAAUAUUGCCAAUCUAAGUUUGUUAUUUCAUAACUGUAUAAUGGAGAAUAAGUUGACCUGUCAGGAAUCUGAUGUGAAGGAAAGAAUAAUACAUAUUUUGCGGAAUCUGAUGAGAAGGUCACCAUAAGAGUCGGUGAUCGUGAAGUGGACCGAGUCGAGAAUGUGCUGAUAAAACUAGGUAAGUGUUAUAGAAGAAGACCACAGCUUUGAAAGACAUCGAUAUCUCAUGAUUGAUUUUGCAGGAAGCCUUGAGAGUAUCUCCAAGGCUAGAUCAAGAGGAAUAUGGUUUGGUUGUGAUCUUUCAUCUCUGGAUCUCUCUCGUCUUCUCCUCUUGUUCAUCCAUGGCUGAUUGCUCAACAAUACUUUCUUCUUAAAAAUCCUCAUUCUUAAUUUCCUCCAGUUAUAUUCCCUCUUUAGGGUUCCAUAUAUAUACGCUUAAUAUAAAUUAUACAUCGUAUUUGUAUUUAAAUAAAUUAUAUAAAGCUUGGUUGCUAAUUAAUUUUCUCUCUUAAAAAAUGUAAAACCAAAAAAAUAUUUACUAAUUAACAUGAUUGGAACAUACGACGAUAAAAAUUCAAAAUUAUGACAUAUGUUAAAAAAAUCUCUAAACUAUAUAAUAAUAUAAUAGUAAUUUACCUUUUAAAACAUCCUAAACCAAAAAUUAAGAUUUGAUUCCUUAUAAAUAAUAGUCAGUUUAAUUAUAUUUUAUCUUUGACUGAACGUUAAUGUUAAUUAUAUUGCAAAAAUUACUUAAUUUUUUUUUAAGAAUACAGAUCAAUUUAUAUUGCAUGCUUAUUCGCUUAGGAACUGCACCAUGAAAGAUACCGACAAUGGUCUUAGAAUCAAGAGUUGGGGUGGUUCGUCUCCAAGCACGGCUGUGGUCCUGUGGACAUCACCUAUGAAGAUAUUAUGAUGACAAACGUCAAUAACCCAAUCAUCAUUGACCAAAAAUACGACUCAAGAGUCGGAGUAAGUAUAUAUACCAGAGAAAAUCUCAAACCAAAAUAGAGAUUUAGUAUAAUUACUGUUCUUCCGCUAGUUAUCUUCUUCGUUCUUCUGUAAAAACUUAAAAAUUUGGUAUAAUAAAUUUAACAUUUUACCAAAAAAAAAAAAAAAUCUCAAACCAAAAUCGGCGUCAAGAGGUUUCAUCGGAGAUCUUUGUGACAACGCAAAUGUUGUCUUCGUAUAUUUUGUUUCUAACUGUUAUUUUAGUAUCAUAUUUCGACUGAUAUAAAUUAAUAAUUUAAAUAAAAGAAUAAUAUAUUUGAUUUAGUAUAAAAAUUUUGAACAUAAAUAUUUAAAAUGGAUAAAACUAAAACUUAAACAAAAAGUAAAUAUGUGCUUUCAUAAUAUCAAGAACAUGUUUAUUAUUUUGUAUUUGGUAUCAACUCUCAUAUUUAGUCUAAUUUGGAUAUAAACCUAAAUCUUUCAAAAUAAAAGAAUAUCACUAUUAACUUGUGUGUAUACUUCUUUUUGAAGGUUUGUAGUUCGAAUAUAUCACUUUGAUUUAUAAAUUUCAUCCCAUAUAUUGUGUAAUAUUUCUAUAUUUACUAUAAAAAAGCUCGUGUAUCUCUCACAAAAAUUAUUUUGUUAUGACUUGUCAAUGCCACACUCUCUCUUGCUCUAUUUCCGCAACCUCUUAUCUUCAAUAUCUUUGUCGUGGAAACUUUGAUUAUUUACAUUAUAUUAGUUUGCACAUUUCAUUAUAUCUUCCAUAUUUCACUGUAACUUGUAAUAUGGAAAAUAUGCAAACUGAUAUAAUGUAAAUAAUUAAAGUUUUUAUCUAAAGGAAAUCAAUAUCUAAAUAUUUAUUUUUGUAACUUGAUAUAUAUACAACUAUUUUAGAUAGAAUAGACAAACUUGAAAUAAUUUAGAAUUGCUGUAAAGUUGUUCUCUAUCUUGUAUAUUUAACAAAUUCACUUUUUAUUUGUUAUAUAAAAUCAAUUCAUAUAUUUUAAAGUUGUUAUUUAUUUAUUAUAUUUAAUUUAUAUAUAAAUGUUUUAUAACGGUUUAAAAGGUAAAGAUUGAUAAAAGAACACUUAUUAUUUUCUUUUCUAUAGCACAAAACUGUUUUUUAAAAGAUAAGGGUUUCGUCUCUCUUGAUUAUAAUUGCAUAAUGUGUUGUGAAUUUGUGCUGAGAGUUUUCAUACUGUUUUGAAUGCGAAGAUUUUAACAUGGCAAAUCAAAAUUCAGAAUUAAAAAGCUACAAAAACUUCUAAUAGCUUCCUUUUGUUAUUUCCGUAGAGUAUAAAAAUGAUAAUUCUUAUCCAACACGUUUAGCUGACUAAUAUAAACAAAUACCCAGAGUCAAGCUUUUAGGCUGCAAACAUUUCCUCUGUACUUCAAGUGAGACACGACCACACUUGUGAUGGUCAGAAAACGACAACUGAACAUCCCACUGGAUGAGACCAAUCAUCGAAACAAAAGAUCUAACGUUGGAAAGUGUGGCUUGUGCUUGGUGAUAUCAAACUGAGUUAUGCCAAAAGCAUCCUUGAUGUUAAUAUCGAUCAAUUUCACAGCAUAUAAACAAACUCCAAAGUAACAUUCCCCGGGAUUGCCAAGUGAUAGGCCGUCUGUUCCUUCAUGUUUCUAUAGUUCACAACAUCUCCGGAGGACUUCGAGGCGGCAUAUGUGAUAGGAAAGUUCGUGAUCUCAAUUUAAAGAUUAGUCUUCUCUUUUGACAUUGACACCAAUCUGCUAAGAUAAGAAAAUUGUUGAACCCAACACCACAGACCCGAUGUCCGAAGAUGUUCCUGGGAUGGCACAACAAUUGACAUGUCCACACGAAGGGUACUUCAGCUUUUAAUGACCAACCAAACUGAAAUACUCAUUCCAUGACUCGUUCUUGAAAACCAAGAAGCGAUUCUUAACUUUCAGUGAUAUGAAAACAAACGGCGAAGAACUUUGAAACAAUCAAUUUGAUAUGGAUGUCAUGUCUCCCUUAUCUUUGAUUCCAAGAACCACACACACAGAGUAAUUGUCAUAUGGGACUUCGCUGCCACUCUAAUACCUGAAAAAGAGAAACAAAAGAGUUUCGUCCAUCAGCGAGAAGGACCACAGCCUGAUCGAUGAUGCUGGGAUGGCUCCACCCUUAAAACGCGCCACCACUAAAUAGAUCUCCGACACUAAUGACCAAAAGAGCUGGUGACUUUUUACGGGAUUCGUCAACGAGAACCAAAGAAACGAAACUUCUCUUAUUUACCAAAUCCACAGCCGAGUGAUGAUUUACAAAUCUACAAGGCCCUUGAAGCAAGUACUAGUGACAGAUCCAAACCAACCAAAGAGACUCUCUACAAAGACGGGAUGGGUCUACAAACUACAAACUCCAAAACCAAACACCAAAUCCAGUGAAAACCUAGAAAAAAGAUCUGAAGCCGCUGAUGCCUUCAUGCAUGUCUCGUCGUUACUCCAUUACCUCUCGAACGCCUCCUAUACACGGAACAAAGACGUCAUCGUCGAGACAGCAGAGCAAGCAAACAUAUUGACAGGGGAAGGAGAAGAGGCUUGAGAGAUAAACAAAAGCAAAGAACAAAAUUUAAGAGAGAGGGGCCAGUAUGCAAGGAGACUCAUUCUUUGUGUAUGGCAUUGUUGGAAUAAUGGCCAUAUUAGAAGAGAUCGAAUAAUACAGAUCUCAAUUGCUGGAGAAGAUAAUUAAAAAUCAUUUAUUGGUGAUUCCCAUUAUUAUAGAAUUAAUCAUAGUUGAAGAAAUUAUGGAGUAUCUCCUUUAUCCUUGAAUCAGUAUUGAGAAUUCUAAUGCAAAAUCUUAGCAAGAAAUAGCUUAAGAGAAAAUCUAAGUAAUGCAUACACAUGAACUCAGUGAUCAAAAAGAACAAAGUAACACUGAAGAACAUCAAGGUACACAAUAUGUGUUCUCAGAAAAGAACAACAGAAAAAUGCAAAAACAUAAAAGAAUCACUAAAUAGCAUUGAGCAUCGAAGGUGGGUGACCUACAAAGAAAAGAAGCUUUCGAUGUGAUUUGGGAAAACAUGCAUGGUGAACGUGUCGUUGCUAGCAAGUCCACAGCGGCGUCCAAAGUCAUCCAAAUUCUUUCAAAGAAUACUUUUGUAGUACUGUUUCUCCUCGGAUCAAAAAAUAGAAUAUAAGAAGCUUGAUAGAAACCAUACGGAGCAAAAAUAAACUCACCAGCAUCUGUAGUACCGCUGAAAUAUAUAGAAUCCCUCCGUACACGAAGAACAAAGCGUUUCCAUUCGUGUCCAUGUGCGUCUUCCAAAAUAUAGAGUUUAACAACAUCAAAGGGAUGAUCAUGAGUAACUAAGGCUACCCUUCCCUCAUAAGGUAUAAAAAAAAGGGGCCUAAAUGGACCCUUAUCCGGAAACUUUAUAGGAUUGAAGUUCAGAUUUCGCAUCAAAGCUCAUUAUGAUAUCUUGAUCAUCACCAAGAAGACGAGCUUCAUAAUAUAUAAAUCCAUUGAAGCAUCGGCCACGUGUUCCAGUUGGGCGAUGGACAGGGCAACGUCCUUUGGUUAUAUGUCUCCAUGAUUCUUGAAUACCCAAUGUAAGAACCCGCGACUGAUCGUUAUAUUCUUCAGAUGGUACACAAAGUACUUUGUGUUUACCUUCAGUGGAUCGUAUCCUAAUAAGUAAGACCAAUCGUUUGGACUCGAGCUGUGUUUACCAAGAUGUGGUAAGGCUAAAAACCGUCUCAAGGUUGGGUUCCAAAUCUUGAAUGCAGAUGUUAAAAUCAAUCCCUGGAUGCUCGUGGAUCGCCAAUAUUGCCAAUCUAAGUUUGUUAUUUCAUAACUGUAUAAUGGAGAAUAAGUUGACCUGUCAGGAAUCUGAUGUGAAGGAAAGAAUAAUACAUAUUUUGCGGAAUCUGAUGAGAAGGUCACCAUAAGAGUCGGUGAUCGUGAAGUGGACCGAGUCGAGAAUGUGCUGAUAAAACUAGGUAAGUGUUAUAGAAGAAGACCACAGCUUUGAAAGACAUCGAUAUCUCAUGAUUGAUUUUGCAGGAAGCCUUGAGAGUAUCUCCAAGGCUAGAUCAAGAGGAAUAUGGUUUGGUUGUGAUCUUUCAUCUCUGGAUCUCUCUCGUCUUCUCCUCUUGUUCAUCCAUGGCUGAUUGCUCAACAAUACUUUCUUCUUAAAAAUCCUCAUUCUUAAUUUCCUCCAGUUAUAUUCCCUCUUUAGGGUUCCAUAUAUAUACGCUUAAUAUAAAUUAUACAUCGUAUUUGUAUUUAAAUAAAUUAUAUAAAGCUUGGUUGCUAAUUAAUUUUCUCUCUUAAAAAAUGUAAAACCAAAAAAAUAUUUACUAAUUAACAUGAUUGGAACAUACGACGAUAAAAAUUCAAAAUUAUGACAUAUGUUAAAAAAAUCUCUAAACUAUAUAAUAAUAUAAUAGUAAUUUACCUUUUAAAACAUCCUAAACCAAAAAUUAAGAUUUGAUUCCUUAUAAAUAAUAGUCAGUUUAAUUAUAUUUUAUCUUUGACUGAACGUUAAUGUUAAUUAUAUUGCAAAAAUUACUUAAUUUUUUUUUAAGAAUACAGAUCAAUUUAUAUUGCAUGCUUAUUCGCUUAGGAACUGCACCAUGAAAGAUACCGACAAUGGUCUUAGAAUCAAGAGUUGGGGUGGUUCGUCUCCAAGCACGGCUGUGGUCCUGUGGACAUCACCUAUGAAGAUAUUAUGAUGACAAACGUCAAUAACCCAAUCAUCAUUGACCAAAAAUACGACUCA
Molecule: long non-coding RNA, 20602 nt
Filed under: Brassica napus (rape)
Lineage: Eukaryota; Viridiplantae; Streptophyta; Magnoliopsida; Brassicales; Brassicaceae
Description: long non-coding RNA (BNAP_LNC026701)
Source: RNAcentral